AGUCACAACAAGGUUUCUGUAGGUGAACCUGCAGAAGGAUCAUUAUUGAAUUGUUAAAUGGGAGUUGCUUUCGAGCACUCCUCUACAUUCUUUAUUCCUAACACCUGUGAAUCGUUGCUGAGUUCGCUCAGUGGCACCUUUUACACACACAUAAAAGUAUAGAACGUAAAUAUAUAAAUAAAAUACAA
Molecule: unclassified non-coding RNA, 188 nt
Filed under: plant metagenome
Description: partial contains small subunit ribosomal RNA and internal transcribed spacer 1
Rfam family: Eukaryotic small subunit ribosomal RNA (bases 1-45)
Source: RNAcentral